GAUGAACGCUGGCGGCGUGCCUAAUACAUGCAAGUCGAGCGAACGGACGAGAAGCUUGCUUCUCUGAUGUUAGCGGCGGACGGGUGAGUAACACGUGGAUAACCUACCUAUAAGACUGGGAUAACUUCGGGAAACCGGAGCUAAUACCGGAUGAUAUUUUGAACCGCAUGGUUCAAAAGUGAAAGACGGUCUUGCUGUCACUUAUAGAUGGAUCCGCGCUGCAUUAGCUAGUUGGUAAGGUAACGGCUUACCAAGGCAACGAUGCAUAGCCGACCUGAGAGGGUGAUCGGCCACACUGGAACUGAGACACGGUCCAGACUCCUACGGGAGGCAGCAGUAGGGAAUCUGCCGCAAUGGGCGAAAGCCUGACGGAGCAACGCCGCGGGAGUGAUGAAGGUCUUCGGAUCGUAAAACUCUGUUAUUAGGGAAGAACAUAUGUGUAAGUAACUGUGCACAUCUUGACGGUACCUAAGCAGAAAGCCACGGCUAACUACGU
RNAcentral lists this ribosomal RNA (496 nucleotides) under uncultured bacterium. RNAcentral's name for it is "partial 16S ribosomal RNA". It matches the Rfam family "Bacterial small subunit ribosomal RNA", at positions 28 to 506 of the family's 1533-position model. The record is from RNAcentral.